UACGUAGGGGGCUAGCGUUGUCCGGAAUCAUUGGGCGUAAAGAGCGUGUAGGCGGCCCGGUAAGUCCGCUGUGAAAGUCGGGGGCUCAACCCUCGAAUGCCGAUGGAUACUGUCGGGCUAGAGUGCGGAAGAGGCGAGUGGAAUUCCUGGUGUAGCGGUGAAAUGCGCAGAUAUCAGGAGGAACACCAGUGGCGAAGGCGGCUUCCUGGACACCAACUGACGCUGAGACGCGAAAGCGUGGGGAGCAAACAGG
This 253-nucleotide ribosomal RNA is filed under the name uncultured bacterium. RNAcentral's name for it is "partial 16S ribosomal RNA". It matches the Rfam family "Bacterial small subunit ribosomal RNA", at positions 524 to 776 of the family's 1533-position model. The record is from RNAcentral.